Molecule: long non-coding RNA, 229 nt
Organism: Oreochromis aureus
Lineage: Eukaryota; Metazoa; Chordata; Actinopteri; Cichliformes; Cichlidae
Exons: 4
Source: RefSeq, a predicted model, not a curated record
AAACAAACCUGAGAAGGGAGGACUGCACAGACAAACCUACUCUUUCAACAUGCUGUGUUAUGUCAGAAAAUCUAAGGUUUACCUUUUGUUCUUCGGUCAUUGAGUCCUUCUGUUCUUCCAUCCACGAUUUGUCUUCAUUAGGAAUCAGAUUCAACACAAAUCACAGAUCUGAGAACAGCCUGGAGGUUACACUGCCAGCAGCACCCACAGGGACAAAGUCAUCGCCCGG